RNA transcript from Dermacentor silvarum, 3670 nucleotides. RefSeq lists it as uncharacterized. Lineage: Eukaryota; Metazoa; Arthropoda; Arachnida; Ixodida; Ixodidae. The transcript has 5 exons. The record is from RefSeq and is a predicted model, not a curated record.
GGCCCCUCACACCGAUGUUGGUGCGCGAUAAGCGACCGAAUGCGCCGAAGCGGCCGAAGCUGCCGGAGCGCCGUAAACAAACUCACCACGCAUGCGCGAAGGAAAAGAAAAAAUAUAUAUGAGAGAGAAAAAGUUUCGGAUUGACAUCGGAGGAGCUGCCGAGCCGCGCGGACGCGCCAUGUCGAAGCUCCCGUUCUGCGGACUUUUCGUGCAAACCGGUUGCAAAGUUUGGAACUGUGUUGGCGGCGCCCUUCGCGUGCGCAGCAGUGCGAUAUGUUUUCACCAGUGGACAUGAAAGGUGUGUUGCGAGGCCAAUGCAAUGCCCCGCAACGUGAGUGCGACGGAUUUUGCCGCUCCGCGAACAACGAACCUGCUGCACCACUCCAGGCCGCUUGGUGCUCAUACUGUGGGCACAGCCCAGUACAACAUGCUCGAAUUGGGACAACCCAGGACGUGUAUUUCUCAGCACCCAGUCAACUGCCAGAAGUGACUCAAACACAGGCCACCAAGUCAACCCAGGACGUGUGUUUCUCAUCACCCAGUCAGAACUCAACCACAGGCCACCAGUGGCACUCAGCUGUACCACUGCACUGCUGCUAAAAUUGCCAGCACCAGCGGCUUUGUAACAGCUGUUUCACAGCAUCUCGGAGACAAUGCCUACGAAAUUAUUGGUCCUGAUGACGAGAGCCCUCAAGGGGCAAACGACAUCUCUGUUGCAGAAGUGAGCCCGAUACCACCUGAAGUUAACAUGACCGAUGACACGGCUGCAAUAGAUACAGAGACUGCCAUGUCUACUGGAGCUGCAACAGUGUACGAGGGAAUCAGCAGCACGUCAGCAUCAGCAGUAGUGUCAGAAGGAACCGAACCAGGCCUGGUAGGGCAACAUGUGUGCUACCACUGUGACUUUUUUGUAGUGCAUACACCUCAUCUGCUCAACAUACGAAAGCUUUUCACCACGACUGCGAGCCAGUGUUCUUGUGCAGUGAGAGCAAGACUAUGUUUGGUGUUAUAACACAGUAUAAGCAUCACUUUAAAAUAUGCAAACCUAUUACAGUUGUUGCCUCCCCGGCCAGCCCACAUAGUGACAACAAUGUGGAACGCAUGGUGGGACACACCUCUCCCCCAUUAGAAGAUAGUAGAGAGACUGUCAGUGUGGUUGCUAGAUUAACUGGUCAUUGUAGCCGACUAGAAGGACAACACAGGUGUCAUAAGAUUGUUGUUGAUGUUGUUGCUGAAGAGGUAAAAAAGAUGUUUGAUGCAGCUGAAGCAUUGAUAUUGAGCAAAUGAAAAGUGACCGCCUGAGAAAGCUACACUACCGAAAUGUGGGUAUCUAUAUGCCGCCAACUCUGGUAAAGCUCACAGGGAAGCAAAGACUUAUGUUGUACAGUUAGCAAACCUCCUUCAAAAUGUGCUAGGGCUCCCAAACAUUGUUGACUAUGUAAGGAAGCCCUGCGGAAUGGAGACUGACUCUGUACUUAGUGACUUCUGGGAUAGAACAAGGGUUCAUUCGCAUCCCAUUUUUAACAUACACAAGAAAAUGUUGUUCUUCUCAACCUGUAUUAUGAUGACAUAGAACUUGCUAACCCGAUUGGUACCAAAAGAGGCAAAUUGGGCAAGCUCAGUGUAAUUUAUUUAACAAUAUUAAACCUGCCACCUUCUCAGCGUUCUAAACUGUCUAGCAUCUUUUUGAUGCGGGUUGGUCACACAGCUGACCUGAAGAAGCAUAAUGCCCAGUUAAAUUUUUUGAAGAUUUCAUUCAAGUGUUGAGAGUGCUCGCCAACGAAGGAAUCAUCUUUGAUACAGACAGAGGCCGUGAAAGGUUUUUUGGUGCUGUGAUGACCGUUACAGGACAUUCUUUAGCUGCCCACUCCUUAGCAGGUUUAAAGAAUCUUUUGGCCCAACUGCGUUUCGAUCCUGUUGAACUUGCCUUGAACCGUCAUAUAGUUAUGCGCAACAUGUUCGACAUGGAGUGUGUAACCUGAGAUCGGAGAGAAAUCAAGUUGCAAAUGCAGGAACUGAAACAAAUAGCAUCAGUUUCAAAUAGGAAGCAGCUUUCCAAAGAAUUUGGGAUCAACGGAGAAUCAGGGCUGACCUCAUUUCCUUUUUUUUUGUUGACAAAAGAUAUUUUGUAUCACCCGAUGCAUAUCCUGCAACCACUCCAUGUGACCACUUUCCAUGUUAUUCUGCAUGAUACAGCUCAACCUCCAGAAACGAGACCACAACUUGUCUGUAAAAAGCCUUCACAAAAAAUUAUUCAUAACACUAUUAACACAGCAGUAUUUUAUUGUGGGUUUGAGGUUUCCGGAUGUUCAUUAAUGCAAAAAGUGAAAAAGAACAAGUUUCGUACUUACUUCUCUUUAACAAGUGCGAGGGGGACACCACUUUUGUAGUCAUACAUCUUCAUCACACUAUCAAGUUUCUAAACGCCUUUUAUAAUUAGUAUUACCAGUUACUUAUAUCUGAGUGCAUUGUAUGCAUGUAGCAGGUGUAAAAUCAGGUCAGUUUGAUCAGAUGCCUUAUCUGGAAGAGAGCCCUAUAAUAAAGAAAUUUGAAUUAAAAUAGGUACGUUAGACACAACAUCUUAGCACUUUAUUGCGUGUGGUUUAAGCAUUGCUCAAUACUUUUCUGGAUGGCAGUUUCAACUGGCAGAGCACUGCGCUUUGCCACAGUAACAUGUGUCUUCAAAGUGGUGUUUACCUGUUGUGUUGGUCUCUUUGUGUAGGCAUAGAGCAAGCUUUUUUUGCAUUUACGUGUUUGUACUAUGUUUAUAUAAGGCAGUUACAAAAUGUGUGUCACUAUAACGACCUGUUAUUUUGAGCUUACACCUGAAAAUAAUGGUGCCCAGAUGGCCGCACUUCUAUUUAGGUGCACCGCUAGCUUCGUGUAUGUUCUCAUGUUUGUAUAAAGCUUAUAUAAGCCAGAGACAGAAUCUAUGUAACUAAGCACUGUGAUAUUCUUUAAAGAACUGCUUGGUUGGGUUUACACUUGUGAAAUAGUACUGACGCGGUGGUAUUUACAUGUAGGCCCACUGCAAGCAGUCUGUGUGUUCGUGUGUUUGUAUUAUGCUUUUACAAUGGAGUUGCAACAUGUAUGUCACUAAGCGCUGUGAUAGUUUUUAAAGAACUGCUUUGUUGGUUUUACACCUGGGAGUAAUAGAACUCAGGUGGCACUGUGUAAUCAUGUGUAGGUACACAGGGACCAUUUGUGUACAUUGUGAUCAUGUAAAGCAGUUACAAAGUGUAUGUCACUAAUCAUUGUGAUAUUUGUUGAACAAUUACUGUGAUCGUUCUACACCUGUGAAUAAUAGUGGUCAGGAGACAGUACUUGUGAUGUAUAGUUGAAUUAAUACAGUGCCAAGACAUGGGCUGUAAACGUACCAAAAGAAAUGCAUGUCAUUAUAUUGUUGUGAUGAUUAUUACUGUUUGGAUUUUAUUAAACUUUGAUAAAAUUGUUUCUUGUGUCAAUUGAGGUAUGGCAAUUUAUCAUGCAACCAAACUGAGGACAUGAACGUGUGCAUACAAAUAAACAGCUAAUUUAAGAGUAUACUGCUCAUAUUCUGCUAAACCACUUAACAAAUCUUGUAAUACAAUGCUGGACAAAUGACAGAGCUCACUGGGAUGUACAGAAAGAUUUCUGCACUGGCUGAAGGACUGCCCCACACUGGAGUUGG